RNAcentral lists this small RNA (102 nucleotides) under Salmonella enterica subsp. enterica serovar Heidelberg. RNAcentral's name for it is "partial RtT sRNA". It matches the Rfam family "RtT RNA", at positions 1 to 101 of the family's 130-position model. From Rfam's summary of the family: This family represents a bacterial cis-regulatory element known as RtT RNA. The exact function of RtT is unknown although it is thought that it may be involved in changing the cellular response in relation to amino acid starvation. The record is from RNAcentral. RNAcentral also lists the same sequence under 4 other names. Lineage: Bacteria; Pseudomonadati; Pseudomonadota; Gammaproteobacteria; Enterobacterales; Enterobacteriaceae.
AUAUCUCUCUGUACGGGAAGGAUGAGAAGCUUCUACCAGGGUUCGAUUCGAGCGCAGCGAGAAAGCGUUGCCGCAGGCAACGACCCGAAGGGCGAAGCGCGC